CACUUGAAACUGUGCCUGUUGUGAAAAGUAGCAUUUCAGUCAUGGUUUUUUGUGGA
RNAcentral lists this microRNA precursor (56 nucleotides) under Xenopus laevis (African clawed frog). RNAcentral's name for it is "Xla-Mir-725-P2_pre stem-loop". The record is from RNAcentral. Lineage: Eukaryota; Metazoa; Chordata; Amphibia; Anura; Pipidae.